Molecule: ribosomal RNA, 353 nt
Filed under: uncultured bacterium
Lineage: Bacteria
Description: bacterial SSU rRNA
Rfam family: Bacterial small subunit ribosomal RNA
Source: RNAcentral
GGGCCCGCACAAGCGGUGGAGUAUGUGGUUUAAUUCGAUGCAACGCGAAGAACCUUACCAGGGUUUGACAUCCUGCGAAUCUCUUGGAAACUUGAGAGUGCCUUCGGGAGCGCAGUGACAGGUGGUGCAUGGCUGUCGUCAGCUCGUGUCGUGAGAUGUUGGGUUAAGUCCCGCAACGAGCGCAACCCACGUCUUUAGUUACCAGCAAGUAAUGUUGGGUACUCUAGCGAGACUGCCGGUGCAAACCGUGAGGAAGGUGGGGGAUGACGUCAAAUCAUCACGGCCCUUACGUCCUGGGCCUACACACGUGCUACAAUGGCCGGUACAGAGAGCAGCCACUACGCGAGUAGGAG